GUGCAGGAAUUUGGGAGGAGGAUUUACAGGGAAAUGCAAGGGCCGGGGCAAGGCCCCAUUUGGAGCAUGCUGCCACAUUGGAGGAAGAGCAGGAAGUGUGAGUGGUUGGAAGGGAGAGCACAAGGAAAUGAGUACAGCCAAGUAGGGAGAUGACUGUGCCAGCCCUGGACGCCACUCCAAGGACCUGCAGCUUUGUUCCCAACCGGUGGUUUGGUUUACAAGGAUCAUGAUGGUCCCUGGGCGGGAUGAGCAGGAGAGGGCACAGUGGAAGCAGGGAGCCCAGUUAGCUGAGAGUUGACAGCGACAGAGUGGUGGAAGCAGUGUGCUGGGCUGUGGCCUGACCUUGGGGAGAUUUUGAAGGUAGACCUGAGCAGAAGUACCAAAGGGUGGAUGUGGGAUGCGGAGAAAGCAGAAGCCAGAAAACUACUUGGCUUUGAGCUGCUGGGAGAUGGGGUCAAGCCAAGUGAUGGGGAGGGUUGCAGGUGGGACAGAUUAGGGAGAUGAUCAGAGACCUCCCUUUUACAUUUUCAGUCCUGAUUUUCUGUGGCUCCCAAAUGGAUCGGACUUUGCCAACCCCUCCUUAUCACCUUGUCCUUGUUUUCUUCUUCAUCCACUGGCAAGUCCUCAGCACCACAGAUGGUUUGACCACUUGCACCAGAUUGUGAUGUCAUAUUCCAGGCUCUGUGGAAGCCUUCCUCUCCUCUCACUCCCGCCCUAGGUGACUUCUCCCAGGCCCCCAGCUCUGUUCCAGUCUAGUGAUUCCCCAGUGGCCCCUUCAGUCCCAACCACCUGUCUGGGGUUUGCACCUUGUGCCUGGACUCAAAGCUUCUGCCUCACACACAGCACUUCCACCGCUGCCCUCUGGUCUGUUUCCAGACGUGCUCUUCCUCCAGGUUUGCCAUCUCAGUGAUGGGUACCCCAUCAGCAAGCCAUACUCACCUUGAAGGAACCAGGCAAGAAGAUGACAGAGAGACCCAGCCCUCGCCUGGAUGCUGACCUCACCAUCAUUUCUCCUCCACGCCUCAUCUUUGGUGCACAGGCCCAAGCUGCGGCCUCUGAGCCUGAGGAGACGAAGAGGACACUGCUCAGGUGUGGAUGGCCCGCAUGGAAUACAAAGGGACAGAAGGGAGCUGCUUCACUUCACUGCUUUGCUGCCUUCUGCCUGCCAUGAGCUGUUUCUCCUCUUCAAAGGCCCUCUGCCCUGCCACCCUGCCUCAGAGGUAGACAAUGACAGACUUAAACCUCUGCAAACUAUAAGCCACAAUAAACCUUGCCUCCUUUAAUUUUGGGUGUCAAGUAUUUUGUCUCAGCAAUGAGAAAAGUAACUAAGACAGCAUCACUGCUGCUCUCCGCUGGCACACGAAUUGAGUUAUUUGAUGUACACGCUGUCCGUGUCCUUUAGCUUCAGAUGGAGCUGGAAGUGUUCUCUCCUUUCCCUUGACUGACUUCCCUCAACCCCAUUCCAGUCUCCCUGG
Molecule: long non-coding RNA, 1475 nt
Organism: Heterocephalus glaber (naked mole-rat)
Lineage: Eukaryota; Metazoa; Chordata; Mammalia; Rodentia; Bathyergidae
Source: RefSeq, a predicted model, not a curated record